CUGUAUGCAUGUAGAUGUUAAUGUAUAUGCAUUUACCCUGAAAACAUUAAAAAGAAAAAUGAGGUGAGACACACGGAAAAUAUAUUCAUAUAUCAAGGAAUCUUAAAAAUAAUAGUUUGUGGACGUUACUUCAGCCUCUUGUUUGAGUCUAACCAAAAAAUAAACAGUGUGGCUGAAGUCAAGAGUCUACCAGGUGACGGUUUGGGCAGCAGUGAUGGCAUCACUGCUAAUGAGAUUAUUGAUAUUCUCGGAACUAAUACCAUCGCAAGUGGAGCCGGAGUGAAAGCCAACGUUUUGGAAUUUGUGACGACGGAAUCUACUGAUCUACGGCACGGUCUAGCGAUAGGUGGAGGAGGAGGAGGAGGAGGACAGGAAGACACGACUAGUAUUUGGUAGGUUAAUGCUAUAUUAGUGUUUCUUAUGUAAACAUGUAAUUAGUUCUGUUUGGAUGUGCUGACCAGCAUGACUAAACUAAGAUGAGUUUGUUUAUUUUUCUUCUGACAACAUAAACAAACGUGUUGUUUUGUGAAUACUUUUUUAUAUACCAAUUCCUAUACCAGCGAAUUUACCGACAAUUUUGUAACGACACAUAUCCCUCUUCAUAUAUCUAUAUAUUCAUGCCCUAUUAUACACACACACAAUAUACGUAUGUGAUUUCUAUAUGCUAGAAACAGCAAUCAAAUCACCCUCAAACACAUUGAAUACUAUAGUGCUGUAUACGCUUAAAAUGUCUUUGAUCAUUAGUCUGCUCAGUCAGAGCUAAUCAGAGAAUAAACAACACACGAACACAAAUAUACUACUUCAAAACCGACACAACACGGUGUACAGUCAACACACACCUGGAUACAGUCUUUGUAUAUACAAACACCAAAAUAUAUCUUCAUACUCCAUACAAUACCAUAUCAAAAUACAAAUGGAAUAACUUCACGGCUAUUUACACUGAAGCUAACUUCUGCAUGUUUAUACAAUAUACAUGAGAGCAUGUAGUACAUAUACAUAUUAUAUAUGUAUACGCACAUGUGUGAGUGUGUGUUGGAAUGUAUGUAUGGUAUGUGUAUAUGACGUAUGUGAUUAUUUGUGUAUUAUAUAUGAUAUAUGUACAUGUGUGUAUCUAUGUAUGUUUACACACACCAGAAAAAUAAACUUCAUCUAUGUAAAUUUGCAAAUCACACGAUGGGUCUGUAUGUAUGUAUUUAUUUAUGUAUGUAUGUAUGUAUGUAUGUAUGUAUGUAUGUAUGUAUGUAUGUAUGUAUGUAUGUAUGAAUGCAUGCAUGUAUGUAUAUAUGUAUGUAUUUAUGUAUGAAUGCAUGCAUGUAUGUAUAUAUGUAUGUAUGUAUGUAUGUAUUUAUGUAUGAAUGCAUGCAUGUAUGUAUGUAUAUAUGUAUGUACGUACGCAUUCAUGUUAAUGUGUGUAUGUGUGAGUGUGUGUAUGCGUGAUGUGGGCAAUGGCCACAAGUCGACAUAAACAUUCAGAAAGAAAAUGAGUGUUGGAAACUAUUACAUAACUUUUCUUACAUAAUGUAUCACGUUAUAUUAGAGGUACUCGUGUCUGAGGAAUACACAGCCACUUAUGAGCUAGUAUAUGAUUAAAUGUAUAGUUGAUUAAACAAGUAGAAUACUCAGUGUCGAAAGAGAUAGGUUCCAAUCACAUUUUACACUACUUUCUGUGCAUGAUUAUAUUAAUACAUUUAAGUGAACACGUGUGCGCGUGUGACGCUGAGGAUACCCGUAUUCGUACACACAUACAUACACACACAUACAAAAUACAACAUAUGUAUGUAUGUAUUUAUGUGUGUGUGUGUAUAUAUAUAUAGGCGUAGGAGUAGCUGUGUGGUAAGUAGCUUGCUUACAAACCACAUGGUUCCGGGUUCAGUCCCACUGCGUGGCAUCUUGGGCAAGUGUCUUCUGCUAUAGCCUCGGGCCGACCAAAGUCUUGUGAGUGGAUUUGGUAGACGGAAACUGAAAGAAACCCGUCGUAUAUAUGUGUGUAAGUGUGUGUGUGUGUGUUUCUGUGUCUGUGUUUCCCCCCCCCCCCCAACAUCGCUUGACAACCGAUGCUGGUGUGUUUACGCCCCCGUAACUUAGCGGUACGACAAAAGAGACCGAUAGAAUAAGUACUAGGCUUACAAAGAAUAAGUCCUGGGGUCGAUUUGCUCGACUAAAGGCGGUGCUCCAGCAUGGCUACAGUCAAAUGACUGAAACAAAUAAAAAGAGUAAAAAAAAGAGUAUAUGUAGACACACUCACACUCACACACAAGGCGCAGUCCUGGCUGAGUGAGAAGAAGUUUGCUUCUUAAGUACAUGGUUCCAGUUUCACUCCGAAUGCGUGGUACCUUGGGCAAUAUGUUUUCUCCUAUAGCCACGGGCCUGUGAAUGGAUUUGGCAGACGAAAACUAAAAGAAGCCUGUCGUAUAUAUGUGUGUGUGUGUGUGUGAGAGAGAGAGAGAAAGAGAGAGCUAGACAGACAGAGAAAGUGCGUGUCAGUAUUUGUCCCCCACAACCGGUUCUCGUGUGCUUACACCCCAUUAAUUUAUUGGUUCGGUAAAAACACUGAUAGAAUAAAUACCAGGCUUUAAGAAAUUAAGUACUGAGGUUCUAUUCAUUCGACUGAAAUUCUUCAAGGAGAUGCCCCAGCAUGGCCGCAAUCUAAUGACUGAAACAAAACGAUGUAAAAGUAAAUGGAAAAAAAGACUAUCACUGUUAUCUUUUACUCGUUUCAGUCAUUUUAUUGCGGCCAUGCUGGGGUACCGCCUCGAAUAAAUUUAAUCGAAGGAAUCGACCCCAAUACUUAAUUCUGUCGGUCUGCUCAGGCAAACCGCUAAGUUACGGGGUCGUAAACAUACUAGCAACGCUUGCUAAGCGGUGGUGAGGGACAAACACAGAACACACGGACACACGGAUGCAAGCGCGCGCACACACACACACACACACAUACAAUGGGCUUCUUUCAGUUUCUCUAUACCUAAUCCAUUCACAAUUCUUAGGUCGACCUGAGACUGGAGUAGAAAACACUUGCACAAGGUGCGACGCAUCUGGACUGAACCCGGAACCACGUGGUUAGAAAACAAACUUUCAAUCACACAGCUAUGCUUGCACCUAUGUAGUAGCAGUAUUUUAAAACGUUCGUCCUUCUGGGUUGAUCCAAUAAAAUAUAACUGGUUUCGGGCGAAGGUCUCAGAAGGAAGAUUGCCCGAAUCGUUAGAUUUAUUGAACAAAACGCCUGGUGGCAUUUCUUCCGUCUUGUUACAUUUUUAAAAGAUAUCAUUUAAUCCUUACUUAGCCCUAAAGGCCUCUUCUGAUGAAAAUACAGAGUCAAUUCUGAGUGACAGAAGAUAAUAUCUAGCAGAAGCAACAGAGUGAUUCAAGACACCCGAGUUCCGUGCUUUAGCAUUUAAUAAAAAUAUACAUAUACUCAUAUUUUGAAUUCUAGGGACAAACACAGACACACAAACAUAUACAUAUAUACAUACAUACAUAUAUACGACGGGCUUCUUUCAGUUUCCGUCUACCAAAUCCACUCAGAAAGCUUUGGUCGGCCCUAGUCUAUAGUAGAAGACACUUGCCCAAGGUAUCACACAGUUGGACUGAACCUGGAACCAUAUGGUUGUGAAGCAAGCUUCUUACCACACAGCCGCUCCUGCGGCUCUCUCUCUCUCUCUCUCUCUCUCUCUAUAUAUAUAUAUAUAUAUAUAUAGAGAGAGAGAGAGAGAGAGAGAGAGAGAGAGAGCCGCAGGAGCGGCUCUUCAUAUGGUUCCAGGUUCAGUCCAACUGUGUGAUACCUUCAAGUGUCAUCUACUAUAGACUAGGGCCGACCAAAGCUUUCUGAGUGGAUUUGCAGACGAAACUGAAAGAAGCCCGUCGUAUAUAUGUAUGUAUGUAUAUAUGUAUAUGUAUAUUAUAUAUAAAUUAAUAUGUUCAAUAAGAAAUAAUUAUUUUCGAAAUUUAUUCUCUUAUGAGGUUUUCACGCUAUCUACCUGACAAUUUCUUGUUAAGUUUUCCUUAUUAAGUGGUUGUCCUUAAUUGCUAUAUAUAUAUAUAUAUAUAUAUAUAUAUAUAUAUAUAUAUAUAUAUAUAUAUAUAUAUUUAUGUAUGUAUGUAUGUAUGUAUCAAAAUAAGCAACAAGGAUAUCUAGGGGUAAUGCAGUACGAUCGUUUCACGCAACUCCAUUUAAUUGAACAAUGCUACCAUUACAUCAGUUUAAAUGCAGGUCAAUCCUCAGUGGCACAAAGAUAGAAUUUAAUUAAAUUAAAACAGAUGGACACAUUAGUAUAAUUUUGCCUAAAAUCUCCAAGAAGUUAAGGAGAUAGACACAGAACAUUGGUGCCAUUCCUUCCACUUAGAAGCUACUAAGUUAUCAGGAAGAAAGACUUGUUACAGAUUUUACUUGUCACUUUUAUAUGGGGUCAGUUUUAAUUUAUAGACUAGUUUUUUAUCAAAUCCUUGUAUAUCUGAAGCUGGGUUUGUUAAGGGUAGGGCUGCGGGAGUCGACAGAAAACAUAGUGGGUAUAGUCAUAAAAAUCAAGAUUUAUUUGAAGCAAUAUCAUGGGAUUUGGUAAAGGAAAACUUAAAUGAAGAUGUUAGCUGACAAUUAAGGGGACUGGCCACUAGCAGACCAUUGAUAAUGAAACAGGAAAAACCAUAUCAUGUAGUACUAUAGUUAAAUAUUUUAAGCAAUACUUCUUUAUUGUAUAAAGUCAAAGUUUAGGGUUAUUCAGAGGAUUAUUUCAGAAGAAUAAUUAUAACAAAAGGAUAAAAUGUUUUAUGAAUACUUUUGAGUAUAUACCAAACUUUUACCACAAUAGAGGGAGGAAAAGAAAAUUAUCCAGAAAUAGUUUAAUAUUUAUACAUAUUAUAAAUUUAAAUACUAACUAAUCAGAUGGUAUCAGUGAAUAUUGAUCAAUUGGUAUAUACUGGUAUUUAAUAAAGGAGUACUGAGGUAAAAUGCUAACUAUGAAUUAAUUUAAUUAUAAUCUAAGCAGUUUGUUUUAAGUAGUGAAUAUACCAGUAUUCUUUAUUUAUAAACUAAGUAUGAAUUUAUGGAGGUAAAAAUAUUAGAUUUGUUUUAUAAAUAUAUGUGUAUAUAUAUAUAUAUAUAUAUAUAUAUAUAUAUAUAUAUAUAUAUGUCUAUCUACCUGUCUCAUUAUCUCUGUCUCUAUCUCUCUCUCUCUCUCUCUCCCUGUAUAUAUAUAUAUAUAUAUAUAUAUAUAUAUAUAUAUAUAUAUAUAUAUAUAUAUAUAUAUAUAUACAUGUAUAUAUACAUGUCCCCAUCACCGCUUGACAACCGGUGUUGGUGUGUUUACAUCUCCGUAACUUAGCAGUUCGGCAAAAGACCGAUAGUAUAAGUACUAGGCUUAAGAAAUAAGUCCUGGGGCCUAUUUGUUUGACUAAAAACCUUCAAGGCGGUUCUCCAGCAUGGCCAUAGUCAAAGGACUGAAACAAAUAAAAGAAUAAGAGAAUGUGUGUGUGUGUGUGUGUGUGUGUGUGUGUGUGUGUGUGUGUGUGUGUGCAUGUAUGUGUGUGCAAUAAUUAUAAUGAUAGAAUAUAUGGAAACUAGUACAUUCUCAAAAUUGAGUUCUUUUUAUUUAACGGUAUGUCAUACAGCAUAUUUUCAUGGCUACCACGAUCUACACGUGUUUCUGUUGCACAGAGUAUGAGCAUGUGCAUAUGCGACCGGGCAUAAUUUUCUGUGCAAUGAAAAUAUGCUGUAUGACAUACCGUGUAAAAAAAGGAAAUAAAUCUUAAACAUGUACCAGUUUCCAUAUACUUUAUCACUAUGUUUAUUUCAAAUAUACACUCCAGAUAAUAUUACCAUCCAGUGAAGCGAACACCGAAUUACCCAUCGGAGAAAUAUACAGCAUGAGUGACAACACGUAGUAGUUACAGACGUUAAAUACUAAUCAAUGCAGUUAGCCGUAACCUGGAACAUAACUGAGAGCUACCACGGUAUCAGCCCGGAUAAUAUAUCCCUCUAAACUAAUAUAUAUAUAUAUAUAUAUAUAUAUAUAUAUAUAUAUAUAUAUAUAUAUAUAUAUAAGGUGUGUGUGAGAGAGAGAGAGAAUGAGAGAAAGAAAAGGCAAAUGGAUAUUUUGACACAUAAUUAUAACGAGGUGUCAUUAAUGGUAUAAUAUAGAUUCAGCUAUCUGGAUAGGAUUAACUGGGAAACAUCUAAGUUUUAUUUUGUAAAAUCUGGCCUUUAUUGCUUGAAAUAAUAACAUACAUAUCCCAUGUGCAAUAUGAUUGUAUUGAUGUAAGGUGCUAUUCUUGAUUUUACCUAAUAUGAAUUGUAAACGUUAUAACUGUAAUUAAAAACAUUAGAUGUCCAAUAAUUCGGUCAACCCUAAAGAUUAAGAAUUGUCGAGAAUACUCUCAAACCGUGAAGCAGCUGUCACAUAACACUUAAUCGCUUUCAUAACGACAUCAGAACUAGAAAUGUAUAUCCUAACUACAAAAUAGCUGAGAACAUUUAGAAUAUCAUUCGUAGCAGACGUUCUCUCGACAUCGUUCACACGCGCCUGACACGGGCUCCGAAGUUACAGCCCGAGUUGUUAUCUAUAAUCCUGGGUGAAUGUAGCAAGGAUGGCACGUAUGAAUGACGAAGCCACCUUGAGCAUAAUCUUAUGAACCCGGAAAAUUUAAAAUAAAGGGUUACCUACUUGCAAACAAAUGUGGUAACAUGUAACAUUAUUGAUCGAGGUUACCGUGGUCUUUUCCGUAGGCAUUUCUUCCCAUGGAUAAACCUUAUCUUCUUCCCCCUUUACAAAUUACUUCAUGACACUGUGAUACACGAUCCCUAUUGAUCGUUUCUUUUUCUCUUUCCCUCCUUUUUUAUUUUUCUUUCCCUUUUACGAUCCCUUUUGAUCGAAAACCUACCCCACCUUUUUUUUUCUCUCCCCCAAAAAGAAAAGCUCUACUUUGUAAUCUGUCCCGUCUGUGUGCAGCCCUUUGUGGCCAAUAAAGAAACCUAUAUAUAAUCCUAAAAAUUAAAAGUAAUUCGAAUUCUAUGUUUUCUUGAAAUAGUAAAUUUCUAUAGGGAUUAGGAUUUAAAUUCCAAUCUAUGAAAAGUUUCCGUUCUACAAUAUUCUUAAAGGAACGAAAAAUAUAUCCAACAAGUCGGGCUAAUACAAACGAGCCCAGUUGGUGUAAAAGACUAACUGGCACCUCUUGUCAAGAACACCGGCGAGAGUCAGAUCGCUGAUGUUAGUUGUGCACUCCAUUGUCGUUAUUUGAUUGCUGUUAUUCUGUGCGUCUAUGCGUUAUAACCCUGCUUGCCUGCGUACUUAUACAUCGCUCGCAUUUUUCGUCAUAAAAAUUAUAUAAAAAUACAUAAAAAAUAUAUAAAAAUAUAUAAAAUCUUCUUGGGACAUAACAUAGAAAGCAUGUUCUAUCUGUUUUCUUUAGGGGACCAAAGACGUAACAGAAAUUUAGUCACGUGUGGGCAUGAUCCGAAAAGUUCUGUCCUUGUAUUUAGACAUGUAGUAGGGUCUAAGCUGCUUUUCCAGAUAAGCCAUCUAUCCAUGUCGCAUAGACCGCACCUUCCGCUGCCGUUGGUAUAGGGCUUACAUCUGGCCAAAAUCUUCCAUUGUAUGUUAUAAUCGACACCUUUAUCUCUUAAAGACCAAAGACAGUUCUGUUUUGCAGGGUUGCUUUAUUUUUACCCUUAACUUAAAUACGGAGAAAGACAUAGUGCUAAAUAUACAAAAAGUAAGCCGUUCGGGGUUACAAAUGAAGCAAGAAAACGAAAAAUUCUUCGAGCAGGCAUGUGUCUUAUGCGAAAUCUGUGUUGAGCCCGAAUGACGCUGAGACCGGGAGUCACCUCUGAUGCAUGCAUACAUACAUGUAUGUAUGUAUGUAUGUAUGUAUGUAUGUAUGUAUGUAUGUAUGUAUGUAUGUAUGUAUGUAUAGUUGAAAUUUACAGAAAAACAAAGGACGAAGACUGGUGUAUUAGUUUGACGCUCGGGAAAGUGUGAAAGUCUUUUACGUUUCGAGCCUACUCUCUUCUACAGAAAGGAACACGGGGAAAUAAACGAGAGAGAGAAUAAAAAAAAUUAUGGAUUUAGCGGUCAAUCAUGGCGAAUGGUUGAACAAAGGUAGUUAGACAGGAGACCUAAGAAGAAGGGGAGAUAAUAAAGUAAUGAUAUAUAUAUGACACAGGUGUCAUUCAUAUAUAUAUAUAUAUAUAUAUAUAAAUGGAGCAUGGGUAUAGUUAUGUGUAGGCUUAUUACAUUCUACAUACAUACACACACACACACACACACACACACACACACACAUAUAUAUAUAUAUAUUUGUCUACGCAGCUGAGGUCUUUGUGUAUGUGUGGGUGUAAGUUGUGAUCAUGUGUCCGUGGUUCAUUGGCCUUUUGAACUUGAAUUCCUUCACUAAAUUCUAUGGGUUUAUUCGGGACACUAAAUUCUCUAAGCUGCUUAUCUUUUCAUUUAUCUUCUAGGUAUUCUCAACUUUAAAUAGGGUCAUAACCCACUCGUACUUUUCCAGGAGUCAUAUUUAUGAACUGAAUUAAAAUGCUAACCCCCUCCUAACCCCUUCCCUUCCUUAAACUUCCUUCUCUAUACUCUUUGCUUUUUCUGUCUUCUCCUUCUUUUUCAUUCACCCACCAAUUUUGAUAUAUUCAUUUAUUUUUUCACUUAUUUUCUCAUUGACCUUCACAUUACUUUAUUUCAUUUCAAUUUAUUUUAAAUAUUACUUGUGUAUGUGCGUGUGUGUACGUGUAUUAUAUACAUAUGUAUGUAUCAUAUAUAUAUACAUAUAUCUUUGUGUGUGUAUGUGUAUGUAUAUAUGAACAUAUAUAUAAAUAUAUAGAUAUAUGUGUGUGUGUGUGUGUGUGUGUGUGUGUAUAUAUGUAUAUAUGUGUGUGUAUGUAUGUAGGUAUAUAUGUGUGCGUGUAUGUAUGUAUGUACGUGUAUUUAGAGAGAGAGAGAUAAGUAGAUAGAUAGAUAGAUAGAUAGAUAGAUAGAUAGAUAGAUAGAUAGAUAGAUAGAUAGAUAGAUAGAUAGAUAGAUAGAUAGAUAAUUUAUUUUUGUAGAAGAUUACUUGGAAAAAUGUGGCAUGCUGUAAAACCUGCUUAGAUUGCAUCUCGAAUAUAUAUUAUUACUAGCUCAUAACUACAUACUGUGUACAUUAAAUGAUACACACACACACACACACACACACACACACACACACACACACACAUACACACAUACACACACACACACACAUGCGCGCACACAUUUUUAUCUUAAUUGGUACAUAUCUAAAUAAUCGUACAUACAUAACUAUACAUACAUACGCACACACACACAAACACACACAUAUUCAUACAUAUGUGUAUAUAUAUUCUCACGAACACUCGAUAUACAUCUGCUCAUCAUAACAUAAGCACUCACACGCAAAUUGGCAUUCCAUCGGUUACGACGUCGAGGUACCAGCUGAUCCGACCAACAGAACGGCUUGCUCAUGAAGUUAGAGUGCAGGCCGAUGAGCACUUCACAGACAUGUGACCCUUCACGUAAUUCUCAUGGAGACUUAGCGUGACACAGAAUGUAACAAGGCUAGCCUUUUGAAUCACAAGUAGUACAACUCAUUUUUGCCCGCUGAAUGGACUGGAACAACGUGAAAUAAAGUAUUUUUCUGAAGAACUCACGAACUCCGGGAACCAAAAUCACGACCUUAUGAUCAGGACCCGACCCUAAUCAAUAAGCCACGCGCCUUCAUUCACAAACACACAUACAUACUAAGCAUACACACAUACACACGCACACGUACGUAAGUACGUAUGUAUGUAUGUAUGUAUGUAUGUAUGUAUGUAUGUAUGUAUGUAUGUAUAUGUACGUGCAUGUAUUAAUAACGACCAUUUCUAAGGAUGUCCAAGUAAUUAUAUAUUUGAAAAGAAAAUAAAUGAUAUAAAAGUGUGUUACACGCAAUCUGAAGAAAGUAUAUUUUCAGUCGCAUAGUUGUUACUAACUGUUGCACAGAGAAGAGAGAGAGAAACAGAGGUGGAGAUUUGGCGAUUCAGAAGCGUGAGUGUAAUAGGGUACUCAGUCCAUAAGAUAUUUCUUAAAGUGUUCUUCAAUUUAUGAGGUACAGUUUUUUUUUUUAAUGUACGAUGCUGGUUAAAAACUGCAUAUAUUUUGAAUAUACAGGGAUGAAUUUAGAUCAGUCUCUAUUCUAAAAAAAAAAAGAAAAAUUAGGACAUUGCAUUAAGUAAAAAAUAAUUAAUAUAAUAUAAUUACUAUACAAUACCACAUUUAAAACUUCUAUAUAUAGGUUCCGCACCUGGACGGGACGGCGGUCCAUCGCAGGUGAGCUGCAAGAUGCAGGACGAAAAAGUGAGAGAAAAUUGUGGCGAAAGAGUCAGCAGAAGUUUCGCCAUUACCUUCUGCCGGAGCUGCGUGGAGCUUAGGUGUUUCGCUCAUAAACACACACAUCGUCCUGUCUGAGAUUCGAACCCGUGAUCCCUCGACCGCGAGUCCGCUGCUCUAACCAUUAGACCAUGUGCCUACACUAUGAACUAAUAGUAUUGAAGUAAACUACUGAAUUUGAAAUAUAAUGCUGAUACUUGACUGUGUCUUUGGAGAGACCAAGUUCUUUCACACACUGGCUAAGUAGAUCGGAAAGACUUCUUCUGGGAAUGAUGACCAAAUUGGAUUACUUCCUAACAAUUGAAGUUAAUGGAUUCUCUACAAGAUCAAUACACAAGCACAUUAUAUGGAUUUGCUAAGACAUCGCGAACGUUAUUAUUUCAAUAGCCAAUUGUAAAGUACUAUAGUCAACAAGGAAGCUCGUUUAACAGACCACAAUACAACGCAAUACGCAUAGAACUAAACUAGUCCACCCUGAUUUGCAUAAUAUCUGCACUACACGGCAUUUAGAAAUUAUCUAUGUUGUCAAUGAAUGCAGUGUUAUACAAAUAAGGACAGACUGUUUUAAUUCAUAGAUUUACUUAAUCGGUGGCCAUUUGACCAGGGCCGUCGCAUGACUUUUAGAGGUGCCCUGCAACUUUUUGUUUCGAGGUUCCAUAUCUUCAAUCAAAAUUCAUAAUCUACGCACAUUUUAUUCAUAGCUAUAUUUUACUUUAUUCGAUCUGAAGUUCAAUAUUUCUCGUUAUCCUAAAGAACAUAUUUAAAAGUACUAGUUAAAUUUAAUUUGGGGCUGGACUAUCUUAUAAUUUCAUGUUUCGGAAGGCCAACAUUCAAUAGGGUUGAAUAUUUAUUCGAUAGACUCACAAAUAUCAGAAGACAAACAUUUCAAAAUAACAACUGGGAAGUAUAGUUGUCUCAGUCUUUGUGUGCGAAGAAGUUUAUUCAAGAACAUUAAUAUACAAAGAAUUUUCAGUCUAAAACAAAAGCAAACUAUUUCAAAUUAUAUAUUUUUGAAAAAUAGACGAGAACGUUUUCAAAGACUUGAUAACAGACGAAAAAGCCUUUUUUAACUUCUAUAUUUCUUUGUUAGCUGUUGCAAUACUUCGAUUGGAUAGACAAUUCUACAAUUCAGACUGUAAAGUCAAAAUAUCAAAGAUGCAAAAUAUGAAGAAUUUCUUACCUUUUUUUUUGAAAUCACAAAUUCGAGGAAAAAAUAGAACUUUGCAAACUAAAAUACGUCGAUCACAAACUAGUUACCACAGGAGAAUUGAGAUGCUUGGUGACAGUGAGCAAACGAUAUUUGUGCAUAGAUAGAUACAUAGACACACAUACAUACACACACAAAUUUCUAUGUGUGUGUGCACGCGCGCUCCUUGCUUUUGGUUCAGAAAUAAUUUCGUCACAAGUUGCCUUGGGAGAUCAAAGGCCAUUGUUCUGGGUACAAAGUGACCAGCCUUUCAACAACGUCAAAUGACAACGCCAUAUAUAUAUGCAGAGAGAGAUAGAGAGAGAGAGAGAGAAAGAAAGAGAGAGAGAGAGAAAGAAAGAGAGAGAGAGAGAAAGAAAGAGAGAGAGAGAGAAAGAAAGAGAGAGAGAGAGAAAGAGGAGGAGACAAACAGACUAAGAGAUGUGUGUGUGUUUGGUUCACAUCUAUCUAUCUACCUACCUAUCGACCCGAGCUGGCAAAAGCUUUGUGAAUGGAUUUGGUAGGCAGAAACAGAAAAAAACCCAGUAUAUAUGUGUGUGCACGUGAGCAUGUGUCAGUGUGUGUGUUGGUAUGUAUGUAUGUAUGUAUGUAUGUAUGUAUGUAUGUAUGUAUGUAUGUAUGUAUGUAUGUAUGUGUGUGUGUGUGUGUGUGUGUGUGUGUGUGUGUGUGUGUGUGUGUGUGUGUGUGUGUGUGUAUGCUUGUGUGUGUCUGUUUGUAUGUUUAAGUAUAUAUCAUCACCCUUUAUCACCACUGUAUCCUUUUCUUGUCUUUUCUGUUGAAGUUGUUCUUAUUCUCAUUGUUUGGGAUUUCUUUCAUUUUCUUUUAUCUCCCUGGGGAAUUCGUUGACCAGCUUUUUUCAUUUACCUUUUUCGUUUGUUUUAAAUUUAUUUUGCGGUACACCCUCGUAUCUUUUUCCUCGUCUGGCUUGAAAUUUUCAGUUAGCACCUUAACCAAAAUAGGUAGAUGGGUCAUCUAUGUACUUUGAUCUUAACAUGUGCCCCCCACAACCGUGGAGGACCCCUCAACUGCGGAGGCCCCCUGCAACCGCAGGGGUUGCAUGGGCUUAGCGACGGCCUUACAUUUGACACUAAAUUUUAAAACAGUUUGGGAUCUAUAACACAUAAAAAAAAAAUACAAUUGAGACAAGCCAAAGACAAGGAUUUCGAAAUCCGUAAUAUAUUUGCCUUUUAUCUUUUAUAUGUUUCACACAUUGGACUGUGGCCAUAUUGGGGCUCUACCCGUAGGGAUUUUUAGUUGAACGAAUCGACUUCACUAUUUAUUUUUUAAAGCCUGGUACUUAUUCUAUCGGUUCCUUUUGCUGAACCACUAUGUAUCGGGGACAUAAACAAACUCAAAGAGAAUCACAUACACACACGCACGUACGUACGUACGGACGUACAUACAUACAUACAUACAUAAUACAUACAUACAUACAUACAUACAUACAUACAUACAUACAUACAUACAUAUUGGGUCAUCCCAUAAAUAAUGCGUUUUUUUCAAUUGCAUGAACUAAAAGUCGGUGAUGGGGGCGAAAUAAACUACCUGCAUCAACUAGCAAUAAAAGCAGGUAGUAAUUCAGCCUUGUUACUUAUUCUUAGUUUUGAAGUGUGCAGUUCGAUUUUAACAGUUAUGUUUUCAAAGCUAUAAUGGAAGUGAUGAAGGAGCAGUAAUUUUAUUCAGCUGAAUACACGUCAAUGAUUGGUUGAAAUUACCGAAAUACGACACCUUUAACAACAAAUAACUUCCAAAAUACAGAAUUUUCUCAACAACGCCAAGAGUAAAAUAUGUUUUAUGUGACACAUUCUACCAGUAUACGAAGUUUGAAAAUGUUUAGUUUCAAGAAAUUACUUUUUUAAAUCUAGUUUCCGUCUACCAAAUCUACUCAGAAGACUUUGGUAGAAGACACUCUCCCAAGGUGCCACGCAUCGGUAUUGAACCCGGAACUACGUGGCUGAAAAUCAACCUUCUAACAUCAGAGCCAUCAACCAUGUCCUUCUUGUGUCCAGGGGCAGCUUGUUAGACUAUCCAGUUCCUUCUAUGUUGUGUCGCAUGCAGCAGUCUGUCUCUUCUUCUAGUCGAUUCUUUGAUAAUCUAACUCCAUAAACAUCUUUGAAGGCCUUUUGCUCUCUUACCUUCAGCACUUUCCAUCAGGAUGAUGUUGGGAGAAAGUGAAUUGUGGUACAUUGUAUAUCCAAAAGGCAAUACCUUUCCGGGCUUGAUUCUAGGAAUAGGUGUCUGUGGACUUUCAACUUUUCUAGUAUUGCACCAGUUGUUAUCUUUCCUGCUUAUUCAGUCAAAUUUGCGGAAGUUCCACACCUCAAAACCUUCGUCUUUUCCUCCACUUUUGCGCAGAUUCUCCCAGUAUCCUCACCGUAAAGGACAGUUGGCCUAAUAUAACAGUUUACUAGCCUCCAUUUCAGGUACAGUCUUGACUUUUGAGCUGAAGAUCAUUUUCAGUUUUUUAAACGUAGUUUUAGCUUUAUUUACUUUCUGAGUAACUUCUACACAGCCAUAUUCCUAGUUUAUUCUUUGUUCUAGAUACAUGAAGUUUUUUAUUUGAUCAAGCUUUUGUCCACCUACCUUUAUAUAAGCUUCCUUUUGUUCUGUCUUACUAAUAACCAUUGUCUUUGUCUUUUACAUCAAAAAUUUCUGGCAAGUUCUUAUUACUGUCAGCCAAGAAUACUGUAUCAUUAGCAUAUCUUACAUUGUUUACGUUUAUUCCAUUGACUGUGAAUUCUUUGAUCUCAUUUUACUUUGUAAAUAGAUAUUAAAUAGGUAUGGUGAUAACACAUAUGACACACAUACUUGAAUAACACCUAUUUUGAUCUCCGCUGAUUCAGAUAACUCCUUCUCUAUUUUGAUGUCUGCCAUUUGGAGCCAGUAUAAAACACAGAUAAUUUCUAAUGUCUUUUUCCUCUAAGUCGGCUUUUUUAAAAAAGAGGUGAUGAUCUCUUUCUGCUGCAUGCUGUCAAAUGCCUUACAUUAUCUGUGAAGCAAGCAAACAGAUCUAUUUAUACCCGCGUUAGCUUUUGUGGUGGCUUUUUCAAGCAGAAUAUGCCAUCACUUGUAUGUCGCCAUGAGUCCAAACUGUUGUUCAACAACUCCAGCAUUUAGUUCGCUUUUUAUUAUUUCAAGCAUGACUAAGUAACUAUAAGAAAUAUUAUUGCAUUAAAUAUUUAUCAUUGAAAUGACAAUAAUGUAUAUGUAUGUAUAUAUGUAUGUAUGUAUUAUCUAUCAAUCUAUCUAUCUUUUUUAUUUUUUUAUUCUUUUGUUUUUUUUUGUUUUUUUUUGUUGUUUUUUCAUCCCCCAAAAGAAAAGCUCUACCUUGUAACUUGUCCCAUCUGUGUGCAGCCCUGUGUGGCCAAUAAAGAAACUUAUCUAUCUAUAUAGCUAUCUAUCUAUUUAUAGAUACAGAUAUAUAUAUAUAUAUAUAUAUAAUAUAUAUAAUAUAUAGUUAUAUAUAUAUAUAUAUAAAUAUAUGAAAGAAUAUAUAUAUAUAUAAGUAUAUGAAAUAUAUAUAUAUAUAUAUAUAUAUAUAUACGACGGGCUUCUUUCAAUUUCUAUCUAGCAAAUCCAUUCACAAGGCUUUGGUCGACCCGAAGCAAUAGUAGAAGACAAUUACCCAAAGUGCCACACAUUUGAGUGAACCCGAAACCAUGUGGUUUAGAAACAAGCUUCUUACCAUAUAGCCAUGCCUGUGCCGUCUUGUGAACGUCGUCUUGUUGUUUUGUUAGACAGACAGAUAGAUAGUGAGAGAGAGGGACAGGGAGAGAUUAAAUUAACAAAUGAAAAACCAAAAUAUUUACCACCACUCGAAAAAAAAGCAUUUAAUUUAGAUAGAAAAUAUAUAGACAUAUAGAGACUCUUAACGCUGUUUCUAGAAUAGCCAAAUAUGUGGAUCAUUAUAUUGAAUUAGGAUUCUAUAAGCUGAGUAUAUCGUCAUCAGAGAGGGAGAGUCAGAUAAAUGUCAAAAUGAAGAAAUAUCCACCAUCGAGAAUGCUAUUAAUACGUUCCAGUUUGUCAAAAUUGAAGAAAGGAUCAGAGUAAAAUAAAUAUGCAUUGUGCAUGUGUUCAUGGAGCUGCGUAAUGCAUAUCUAUUUUACUCUAAUCCUUCUUUCAUUUUUGACAAACUGGAAUGUACUGAUAUUCUCGAUUGCGGAUUAUUCUUCGUUUUGACAUUUAUCUGAUUUUUCCCUCUCUGAUACUCAAUUUAUGGAAUCCUUACUCAAUAUCUUGAUCCACAUGCUUGGCUAUUUUAGAAACAGCUGUAAAAAUACUUUUAUAUGUUCAGUCUAAAUUAAAUGCCUUUUUUUUCGGGUGAUUUCAAAUGUUUUGAAAUGUGUGUACGUGUGUGUAUGUGUUGCAUGAGUAUAUGUGUGUCUAUGAGUCUGUAUGUGCACGUAUGAGAAUAUAUGUGUAGAUAUAUGUAUAUAUUGUAUAUGUAUGCACAUAUACAUGUAUAUCUGUAUGUGAAAUAAAAGUUUUAAAAAGAUUUUGAAUUUUAACCAUCAUCUGCGAAAAUAGUGACACACAGGAGUUGGACAAACUAAUGGAAACACCUAGCAUCAUAGCAUCAUAAUUUGGAAACAAACUAUAAAACUGUCAAAAGCUUGUUUAUUUUUAUAUUAUUUUUUAAAAAUUUAUAUGUUUUGCUAAAAUUGCUGUUUCUUUUCAGAUAUCAUCAGAAAAAGGUAAUUAAAAUUCAUUGAAAUGACAGAUCUAUCGAACUUUCAAAGAGGUCAAAUUGUUGGUGUUCGUAUGAUAGGAGCUUGAGUAACGAAAACCGCCGAAACGUUUGUGUAUCAAGAAGUACUGUCGUAAAAGUAAUGGCAGCCUUUGAGCAAGAGGGAAAAACCUCCUCGUCGAAGCAAAACUCCGGAUGAAAACCAAAAUUUUCAGAUAGGGACCGUCGGAUUCUUGCGCAAGUUGUUAGAAGGAUCACAAAAGUUCAACUCUCAAAAUUACUGCAGAGAUUAAUGACCACCUCGAGAACCCAGUUUCCACAAAAAGCUGUUCGCUGGGAGCUGCACAAAGCUGGAUUUCACGGGAGGGCUGCAAUCAGAAAUCUACUACUUUCAAAAACAAACGUUGAAAAGAGUUAAAAGUAGAGCAAAAACCUACAGAAUUGGUCCCUAGAGCAGUGAAAGAAUGUUAUUUUCUCGGACGAGUCAUCCUUUACCAUAUUUCCGACCACCGGCCGAGUAUACGUGUGGAGAUAGCCAAAAGAAGCAUUGACCCAGACUGCCUUUUACCAACUGUUAAACAUAGAGGAGGAUCUAUGAUGAUAUGGGAGCCUAUAUCUUGGAAAUGGUUUCCAUUCAUGGCAGAAUUAAUAGUCAAGACUAUUUAAGCAUUUCAUCUGAUCAAACUCAUCCUAUGCAGAAUUGUUUCCGCAAUCUUUCAGGAUGAUAAUGCACCAAUUAACACAGCUAAAAUUGUUACUGAAUGGCACGAGGAACAUUCUUGUGAGGCUGAACAUCUUAUCUGGCCACCACAGUCCCCAGAUAUCAAUAUUAUUGAACAUUUAUGGAGCGUUUUAGAAAAACAAGUAAGGAGUCGAUAUCCUCCUCCAUUACUACAAGAACUGUUUUAGCUGAAGAAUGAAGAAAAAUUCCUUUGGAAACAAUUCAAACUUUGUACGAGUCCAUACCUUGUAGACUUCAAGCUGUAACUACUGCCAAAGGCGGUCCAACCCCAUAUUAAAAUAGAUUUGUUUGAAAUUUUAAGGUGUUUCCAUUAUUUUGUCCAACCCCUGUAUAUAUGUGUAGAUGGAUAAGCGUAUACGUGUGAGUGCGUUUACGUUUUUAUAAGAUUGUGUGAGCGUG
This 17393-nucleotide long non-coding RNA is filed under the name Octopus vulgaris (common octopus). Lineage: Eukaryota; Metazoa; Mollusca; Cephalopoda; Octopoda; Octopodidae. The record is from RNAcentral.